AGUGAACGCUGGCGGUAGGCCUAACACAUGCAAGUCGAACGGCAGCACAGUAAGAGCUUGCUCUUACGGGUGGCGAGUGGCGGACGGGUGGGGAAUACAUCGGAAUCUACUUUUUCGUGGGGGAUAACGUAGGGAAACUUACGCUAAUACCGCAUACGACCUACGGGUGAAAGCAUGGGAUCUUCGGACCUUGCGCGAUUGAAUGAGCCGAUGUCGGAUUAGCUAGUUGGCGGGGUAAAGGCCCACCAAGGCGACGAUCCGUAGCUGGUCUGAGAGGAUGAUCAGCCACACUGGAACUGAGACACGGUCCAGACUCCUACGGGAGGCAGCAGUGGGGAAUAUUGGACAAUGGGCGCAAGCCUGAUCCAGCCAUACCGCGUGGGUGAAGAAGGCCUUCGGGUUGUAAAGCCCUUUUGUUGGGAAAGAAAAGCAGCAGGUUAAUACCCCGCUGUUCUGACGGUACCCAAAGAAUAAGCACCGGCUAACUUCGUG
This 492-nucleotide ribosomal RNA is filed under the name uncultured bacterium. RNAcentral describes it as "partial 16S ribosomal RNA". It matches the Rfam family "Bacterial small subunit ribosomal RNA", at positions 29 to 507 of the family's 1533-position model. The record is from RNAcentral.